UUCCUUUCUCCCUCUCUCUGUCGCAUGCUCUAUGCUAGGCCCGAAGAAUGACGGCAGAGGCUUGGGGAAUGGUGGUCGACGGCGGCAGGGGGGUCGGGGUCGGGCUGUUCGAUGGCAGGGGGCUCGGGGCUGGGCUCGACAGCAAUGACUGGUGGCUCGUGGCUGGGCUCGACAACAACGGCUGAUGGCUCGGGGGGGCUCGACGGCGGGUGGGGGGGUCUUGGGUCUGGGCUCGACGACACAGGGUCUGGGCAGAGGGCUAUUUGGCUUCGGGACUUUGAGAGACACGAGAGCUAUGGCCAUGGAGAGGAUCUAUCUUGGUGGAAAGUGUUUUUGCAUUUGGGUCCACCGGGAAUGAUCCUAGAUUGAUCUUCUCCUUCAAGGUCUCCUCUUUCCCACCGAGAAUGACCUCGCCGCCGACCUAAUCGCUGGCAAAUACAACUAUCAUCAAUGCCUCCUCUUCCUCCUCAUUGCUCUUGAGCCUAUCUCCUUCUUCAUUUAGGUUUGUUUUUUGCUUCUUCCAGAUCUGUCUCAUUUUUAUUGUGCAAAUGUCAGCUAUUAUGAUCUCCAACAAUCUUCAAGGCUUCUCAACGAUUCUGUUCUUUGAAGAUAGAAGUAGCUUUUCGAUAAGUCUAGUUUGUUCAUUUUAGGUAUAGUAUUUGACAUUCUAGACUACAUUAUAGUUUAGAAGAUACUUCUUUCUAAAUAUUCAUGAUAUUGGUUUUCUUUGUUUUUGAGUUAAAAUUGUUUCAUUUUAAGCUUUAAAAUGACAAGUUGGAAGUUUGAUUCAUGUCUCAGCAUCUUCUGUACUUAUCAAGGACUAGAAACUGCAGGAUUUAAUACAUGGAAAAAACUCCUGCUAGGUAUUUGAUCAAAUGCCUCUAUGUAAUGUGCUCAUUUGAUGAAGUUACUAUGCUUUACUUUAGUGAUUGGAUCUUGUUGAAUUUUCUGAUAAAUAUCUUCUUUUUUUUUUUUUGCAAAAGAAAUUUGCUAGGAAAACUAUGAACAAGCUCACUCUCUGUUUCUUUGUCUAUCUUCUGAAAUUUGGGCAAAUUAUCAACUAGAGAAUAUAUCUAAAUAUAAUUAGUAUUAGUAGUAAUUAAGUUCUAGUAGCUUCAGUAAUACCGAUUCAUGUCAUUUAUUUUUUUAUUAGUGUUUGGGUGGAAGGAUUAUUAUAUGCAUAUAUCUCUCUUAUCUUUUAGUUUAGUUCUAAUUGACCUACAUAUGUUUAUAUAUAUAAAGGUAUGUACAUACAUAUAUAUAUAUAUUUCUUUGGCUUAGUGAUACUAAAAGUACGGUAUAUAAGUUAUUAUCCUUGCUUGUUUGAAACUCUUUGUAUAUGUUUCUUUAUUAAGAUUUUUUAAAGGAUAUGACAUUGGGUGCUGGGAGAUGUUAUUCCUUGUAAGGAUAUGACUACUCAGGCUCAAUAAAGUAAUUAUCAGUAUUUGUUUUCUUUUAUGCUCAAUAAAGUAAUUAUCAGUAUUUGUUUUCUUUUAUUGAUUAAGUAGCAUUUAUUAUUGAGUUCUUGUAUCUCUAAUGAGAUUCAUUGGACCAAUUUUGACUUUUAUGCUCUUCCAUCUUUCCUCUACCUCUCAUAUCUCUCCAUGAACGCAAACCCAUUUCAGCUCAAGAUCUGUUCCAUUUUCAAGUUUGUAUUUUUUUUCUACAUUUUUAUUUCUACUCUCUUUGUCUCUCUCGGCUUCCUCUCUCUCUAUCUCUCACUCUUCUCUUUUUUGCAUUUCUUAACUAUAUUUACUUUUUUUUUUUUUGUAUUAACUUGUUCUCUGUUUUUCUUAUGUGAAAGGGGAAAGCUUUUGGUGAAAAUAGCUUCUCUCUCAGAUGCUCUAUCUCUCUCAUAUCAGGUAUGUACGUAUGUGUGUUUUGGGAUGGGCGGUGCGGGUUUUGACAGAAUAAGUUCAUUAAUUCAUUUAUUUGUGUUAUAAGCUUAUAAGGUUGAGUUUAUGUCUGAUCUUCAUUCCAACCAUUUGUUGAGAAAGUUUUAGAGUUUGAUUUAAUUUUUUGAUCUGUAUUGUGAUUUGGAAAAUAUUUUUUAAAAAUAAAAUAAAAUUUAUAUAUGGUUGUUUCUUGAUAUAAUGUUACACUUGAUGAGUACGACUUCUAUUGUUGGGAUUUUAAUGAGACAAUUAUAGAACCUGGCUUCACAUUUAUGACUGCUAAUUUUGAUGGAAUACUUGGACUUGGAUUUCAAGAGAUCUUGGUUGGAAAUGUUGUUUAGGUAAAUCUAUCUAUCUCAACCUCUAAACAUGCCGUAAAACUUCAAUUGAAUCUUCAAUCCAUGUUGUAAAAUGUUUAAUGAGAUUUAUAACCUCCUAAUGAUAAAUUAUUAUAACUUAACUUGUGGAUUUUUCUUAGCAGUUAAUUGCCCUAUUUCUCUCUUUUGUUAAAUGAGAUUUAUAACCAUUUAUUUAGACUUAUCUUUUGUUUUGCAAUAGGAAAGGGGUGACUAAAGUGUGAUAAGUGCUUUUAUGAGUGCUUUUUCUAUAUACACAUAUUAGGUCUACUUGCACCCACCAUUUAAUGUCAAAUUAAUGAUAUAAAUUAUUUACUCUUAUUAUAGCUGACAUCUAACAUAUAGUAUUGUAAUUGAUUCUCUUUGCAAAAUGGAGAAAACUUAAAGAGUUAUAUGAACUGAUGUUAUCGAACAGGGUUCUACCAGAUUCACUUUGAUCAAAGGCUAUAUGAAGGUUGAUAAAACACAAGUGUUAAUACUGAGUUCUCAUCAUAUAGUUUAUGUUCCAUAAUUAGCAUUAUACAAAUUAGGUAAUAAGUGGUUGCAUUACCCAGUUUGAUUGUGUUGUGUGUACCAAGACAUGAGAAUUCAAGUACAACAAAGGAUAACAUAUAUACUGAGUUCUUAACUUAGAUUGAUUGAUCAACAUAAUUAGUCCUUAGUUAAUUUAAUUAUUUUUGUUAGGUGGCUAUACUCACAUAUUUGAAUGUACAUCAAAGCUGCCCAUUUACACUUAAAUGUGCAAUUUUCAUUUCGAACUCCCAUGUAAGUAAUAGUCCAGGUCCUCUAAAUAAUACUCUAUUGAAUUAUGUUCUCUAUAGAUUAGCUUGUGUACAUGAAUGAAAGACAACAUAUUAUUAAAUAUAUUUAGGUGCGAUUCUAGUAGGUUAAUGAAAUUUUUAAUAUAUAUUAUGAUUUUUAAUUAAGAACUGAAUUAUUUUGAGAAGCACGAGAACUGGAAGUUGUACAGUAUUAGAAUUUUUUCUUUCUACAUAUACAUAUGUGAAACAGCUACAUCUACUUGUUGUAGUAUCAUAAGGAAGAAUAAAUAGUAAGUUUCUUUUUCUUGUGUGAUGGUUUUGAUUGCUGGUUUUGAUUCCAUGUCAGUUUAGCUGCUGAAGCUGAACAUGGUGAUGCUUUUAGAAAGGAAAGGUCCUUAGUUCAAGGUGUAGAAAAGGUAAUUAAUACCAAACAUGUUUCAUGUAAUUUGAAAUUGAUUGCAGUUUUACUUUCAUAUAUUUUAAAGAUUUUUAUUAGAGCUUAUCUGAGUUUGAAUUAUAAAAACAUAGUUUCCUAGUUGAGUUAAGACUUCCUAUUUAUGGCUAUUUGUCAAAUACUUUUGUACUUAGUGGAUUUUGAAUAUCUUAGAUAUUCAUCCGUAGCUCUUGAUAUCUAUUUUUAAACUUAGAGUGGAUAAUGUCUUAUUCUGAGUUUGUCUCUUAACAAUAGAACUAGUAAUUGAUUGGGUAAUUAUGUUUCCUGUUAGGUUCAUUUUAGGUUUGUUUUAGAGGUCGUUUUAGGUUGUGUUUUUAGUUAUUUAGGAUUGUUUAGUGCAGAUUUAUGCUUGUUUUCUUUUUGUUUCAGGUUUUAAUGGUCAAUUACAUAAUAUGGAGUGAAAUGAGAAGAAACAAGUUAAAUAUGAUAAAUACGAUGGAUUUUGUGUUGAUUGUGGAGUUUCAAGACAUUAUGUGUGAAAAAUAAUACAUUGAAGAUGCUCAACACACGUCAUUUAUGCUCUAUAACGCAAGUCUGAAACUUCAAGCCACAUUUUUACCAUGAUGUAUUCACUUUCUGGAAACACUUCUAGAAAUAAAAGUUGUAGAUAUUUCUCUUAGAUUUCCAUAUCUUUUUUAAUCAUUCAAUUCGGAGUUAUAUCGAAGGAGUUAUGAUCAAAAUACUAUGAGCUAACGCUGCAGGCUGUUCGAACCGAGUUUUGUCAAUUCUGACUUUAGCGAUACAGCGCCAUAAUAAGAGCGCUACAGCGCUAGUGCACCAGAUUUUGAGGUAUUUUGCCACUGUUAAUAGCGCUACAACGCUCCAGAAGUAGCGCUACAGCGCUAGAGACGCGAUUUUCACAGAUCUGAUCAUUUUUUGAUGGGCAAUUUGGUCCUUUCACUUGGAAUUUGGUAGGGAUUUUUGGAGAAACAUAGUGUGCGACUAGGGAGGCUAAACGGAGGAGACGACGGCUGAGAGUGGAGAACCCCAUUGGAGGAUUCAUUCUUGUGUUUUUCAUCAUCUUCUUCAAUUUUUAUGUUUGUAAUUGAAUUCUCUUAUUGCCAGAAUGAAUAUUAUGGGCUAAUUUCUUCUUUAGGGCUAUUAUGUGAAUCUUUUGGAAACCCUUUUUAUAGUUUAAUGCAGAAUUGAUGUUCUUCUUCA
Molecule: RNA transcript, 4627 nt
Organism: Humulus lupulus (European hop)
Lineage: Eukaryota; Viridiplantae; Streptophyta; Magnoliopsida; Rosales; Cannabaceae
Exons: 2
Source: RefSeq, a predicted model, not a curated record